Molecule: long non-coding RNA, 2679 nt
Organism: Conger conger (European conger)
Lineage: Eukaryota; Metazoa; Chordata; Actinopteri; Anguilliformes; Congridae
Exons: 2
Source: RefSeq, a predicted model, not a curated record
AUUGGAUUGAAUAGCGCGAUAUGCUGUUUAUAUAUUUCACAUGUUUUACUGUAUUUCUUAUCGAGGAGCUUGAUCAUUAAUUUUUACUAUUUAAUUUAGAUUUUCUGCCUUGGUUGAAGACUUAUUUUCUUUUAAAGAAAGUGCGAAACUUGCACACACAUUCACACAGGUACACACACAUACACAUGCACACAUACACACAUAUACACACACUCUAUGCAUACACACACAUACACACACACUGUAUACACACACUCACACACAUACAAACACACACACAGAUACACAAACAGACUCUGAACACACGCAUACACACACAUACACACACUCUCUAAACACACACUGUAAACACACACACACACACACACACACACACACUCUCCCUCCCUCUGUCUGUCAGCUGUUAGGCAGUGUAAAGCCUUGGCGUGUGUUCAGGAGGGAAGCGGAGAUCGCUGUUGCUCGGCUCAGAAGGAGACAGCCCCCAAACCUCACACCCUGCCACAGCUCAACCGGGAGCACCCCCACCUUUUUCUCCAGAUUUUUCCAACUCCCCCAAAAAGGUUUAUUUUGAGUGCAGAAACUCCUGGGAAAGAGGGGGGCGCUGGAGUGUGUGCGGCAGCCCGGAGCGGGCCGGCGGGACCGACCGCGGAGCAGCACGAUGCAGACUGCCCGUCUCACGGCUCAUCCCCUCUGUACGGGCCAGGAGAGAGAUGGGGAGGGCAGAAUGGCUGCGCUGUAUUUCGGGUAACAGUUCCCUAUUGUGUGCCGGGCUGUCCUGCCUAUGUUCUUAGCGUGUUUAUGUGUUCUUAGUCUGUUUACCUUGCGUGUUCCUAGUCCGUUUACAUGCGUGUUCCUGGCCUGUUUUGUUGUGACAUUGGCUUGUGCGCGUGAGGGUUGUGUUUGUUCCGGGGUCUGUGCGCGUGAGGGUUGUGUUUGUUUCGGGGUCUGUGCGCGUGAGGGUUGUGUUUGUUUCGGGGUCUGUGCGCGUGAGGGUUGUGAAUGGCGCAGUUGUUUUCCGGACGGCGGGGUGCAGAUUCGGGCCCGGGGACGGGCCAUAAACGGGUUAAUCUGCCCGUGCGUUUGGGAGCCGCUGAUUUGGCGUUUAGAUCGUUAGCUUCCUCCCCCCGCUCCACCGUGCCUGCUGCUGUGCCCUCGCUGCAGGACGGGAGGUGAGUCUCUCUCUCUCUCUCUCUCUCUCUCUUUUCACGCUCUUCCUCUCUUCUAUCACUCUUUUUAAACUUGAGAAGUUUUACAGCUCUCAAGGGCGGUAGGAGGGGAGAGUAAAACCCUUGCCUUUUCUCUCUUUCUCUCCUUCUGCCUCUCUUUCUCUCCUUCUGCCUCUCUUUCUCUCUGUCCUCCCUCCUCACCCCUGUCUCUCUCUUUUCAUUGGAAGCGCAUAAACACACACUCACACACACACACACACACACUCACACACACAGUCCUUUCUGGUUUUACAUUUUUUGCUUACUUAUAUUAAUGCUGUGUGUGAGUGUGUGUGUGUGUGUGUGUGUGUGUGUGAGUGUGUGUGUGUGUGUGUGUGUGUGUGUGUGUGAGUGUGUGUGUGUGUGUGAGUGUGUGUGUGUGUGUGUGUGUGUGUGUGUGUGUGUGUGAGUGUGUGUGUGUGUGUGUGUGUGUGUGUGUGUGUGUGUGUGUGUGCGUGUGUGUGUGUGUGUGUGUGUGUUGUACACCUGUAUGUUCCCCUGGUCAUUGAUCAUUUGCUUGUGACCGGUAGAUCAUGUCGUAUUAGACUAUGGUCAUGAUUAAGUUAAUUUUUGAUUAAUAAUGAAACUUGCCCGCUUGUUAAAAACAAAAUGAGUUGAUGUGUUCCAAAGUGCGACAUUGACUUAUGUGUCCAUGGCUUUGCGGUUUAAUUAAAUUAGGAAAUGUGAAUACAUAAAUAUUACGUGUUGUAAAGUAAUACCAUGUAUUCCCAUGAUAUAAUUUUUACACUGUAUUUUUGAUGUUUGUCUGUAAUUUCUUUUUUACAAUAUGGCUCACUUCUCAGUGCAAGGCUUUGGGCGUGGUGUUCUUCAGAGCAGUGUUAUUUUAAAGUGUUAUUUUUAAGCAGUAAUUCAAAGUGGGAAAAACCCCAGUAAGUGAUGUACAUUAUUACUGCUGCCUUGUUAAUUAGAUUAUUUCAUUUUUAUCAUUCAUUGUUUAAUUCUAUGGCAACAUUGGCGUGUUUGUGCUGUUUGUGGGUGUUUGUGUGUGCUUUGUAAAUUUUUAUUGGUGCGAUCAGGCCUUGUUUUACUUGUGUUCGAUUUUGCGUCAUAUUCGGCAUUUUGUCAUAUUCGGCAUUUUGUAAUAUUCGCCAUUUUGUGCUCUAAGUUUGUGGGGGUUUUAUUAUUUUUUUACUCAAUCACAAUUCCACUUUCAAAGGUGUUUUUUUUUCUUGCUUCAAAUAAAUAGUAAAAACUAAAAAGUUAAGUAGGAUCUGGUGUAACCAGCCCUGUACAUCCCUGCUUUUCUCACUUCACUGAAAUGAAUGAACUUCAGAAGGAUCUGGAGAUGCACUCAUUUAAGUUUGUGUUACACUUUACUAUUAAUAAUAAAAAAUUCUUCAUAAAAAAAAAAUUUUCCCCCUCUUUUUAGAGGAUCAUAAAUUAUAAUUAGAUUCAAAUUCAUACUGAACCUGAAUAAUGUAAAAACUUCAUAAAAAUUUAAAUUUUGAUAUUA